AUGAUGCGGAAUCCCCUCAGCGCCCGUAAGACCCCCCCGGAGCCGUUCCCGUGCCCAGCAGCAGGCACGAACCCCCUGACGAGACGUGGUCGCUACCCGGCGGUUCCCGCCCGCACCACGCCCGUCCCAGGCCCGACCACACACCAACCGGGACACCCAAGUCGGCCGGGAGACACGGCUCAAAUCCCCACAGGGCGUGGGACAUUCCCCCAAACAGCCGGGACUCCUGAACGGGCCAGGCCUUCCAGGGCCUCAAGCCCCGGGCCUUCCUGGCAAGCACGCGGCCGCCGGGCCUCAUCAAAGCCCUCCGUCACCGUCGGGGCCAGGACACCGCCACCGCUGCCCAAGCCCACCGCUUUCCGCCCGCAAGGGCCCGGGCGCCAGGCGGCCGCCCGCCGCCGCCUCCCCGCUCUGCCCCCCCGCGCGGCGACCUGGGCGAAGCGCUCCACGCGGCGCGGGUGGCUCGCUCUGCCGGGCAGACCACCCCCUCCAGGGCGUCCAAGGGCUCGGCAUCGGACCCUCCAGGGAGAGGGAGACCGUGCACCGGGAAGGACUCCGACCCGUGGCCUCCCAAAGGACCCCCCCCAAGGUGCGGUCAGCGCCGCGGCCCAGGGACCUGGCGGCUGCCUUCCCCAGACCCCCACGGGAGCCACGCCUCCCAGAGGAGAGGCCACAUGCAAGACCGUCCCCGCCCCUGCCCGCGCGGUCCUUCCCUACCCGGGCCUCCCACAGCCGCUGACGCCAUCCCACUUGAGGCCAGGGCACCUCCUCCAGAGCCCCUCGCCCAUCCAGACGUGGGCCUGUCCACCCACGUCCCCGGCAGGCUCCCUCUGCCCGCCUGUCGCUCACCACUUCAGCUGCCCCCUUCUCGCCACCCAGCCCCAGCCUCCGCCCCAACAUCCCUGGACGUCCCAGGGGAGCGCCCUCAGGGGUUCCCAGGCUCCCCCCCUCCCAUGGGGGACGGCCCUGAUCCAAGGGCCCCCGCUACCACAGACCCCCUGCAGCAGGUGGCCCUCAGGGGUCCCCAGAGCAGAAAGAGAACACUACCCUGCCGGGAUCCCGUCUCCCCACAGCAUCCUGAGAAGGGCGCCCGGCCUGGGCCAGGACGCCCCCUGGGGCCCUAGGGCCGCACACUUGCCUCGCGGGCCGGGCCCAAAUUUCGGCCCCCGCGACGGCUUGCGAAACCCCCCAAGGCCGGCGGGAGGCCGCCCGGGAUCUCCAGCACGCUCGGGCACGCGGCCUCUCCCCCGAGGCCAGCGCCGGGCCACGGGCCCCAUGCUUCCUGGGCCCGGCAGGCGGCCGCCUUCCCCAGACCUCACCCGAGUGGCUGCUGACACCAGAGGCCCCAAGGCCAAGGGCCCAUCUACCCCCGAGCCCCCGGUGGCCGCCACGUGCCGGACCUCAGUUUCGAUGAGGAGACGGUAG
RNAcentral lists this long non-coding RNA (1425 nucleotides) under Sus scrofa (pig). RNAcentral describes it as "lncRNA (ENSSSCG00070012137.1)". The record is from RNAcentral. Lineage: Eukaryota; Metazoa; Chordata; Mammalia; Artiodactyla; Suidae.